GAUGAGAACGCAGCGAAAUGCGAUAAGUAAUGUGAAUUGCAGAAUUCAGUGAAUCAUCGAAUCUUUGAACGCAUCUUGCGCCCCUUGGUAUUCUGAGGAGCAUGCCUGUUUGAGUGUCAUUAAAUUCUCAACUACACUGACUUUGAAUUGGUGUGGCUUGGAUUUGGGGGGAAAAUUGUUGUGGGCUUUUUGUAUAGUCUGCUCCCCUGAAAUUGAUUAGCGGUACCUUUGUGGAACUGUCUACAGGUGUGAUAAUUAUCUACAUCUUAGACAUCUGCUGGAAUGCUGCUUUCUAAACCUUACUUGUAUUGACAAUCUUGACCUCAAAUCAGGUAGGACUACCCGCUGAACUUAAGCAUAUCAAUAAGCGGAGGA
This 375-nucleotide unclassified non-coding RNA is filed under the name soil metagenome. Its description in RNAcentral is "partial contains 5.8S ribosomal RNA, internal transcribed spacer 2, and large subunit ribosomal RNA". The stretch from base 5 to 119 matches the Rfam family "5.8S ribosomal RNA", at positions 40 to 154 of the family's 154-position model. The record is from RNAcentral.